CUACGGGGUGCUGCAGUGAGGAAUAUUGCGCAAUGGGGGAAACCCUGACGCAGCGACGCCGCGUGGAUGAUGAAGGCCUUCGGGUCGUAAAAUCCUGUCAGAAGGAAAGAAGUGUAUGGUAGCUAAUAUCUGCCAUACUUGACGGUACCUUCAAAGGAAGCACCGGCUAACUCCGUGCCAGCAGCCGCGGUGAAUACGGGAGGGUGCAAGCGUUGUUCGGAAUUACUGGGCGUAAAGCGCGCGUAGGCGGUUUUAUAAGUCAGAUGUGAAAGUCUACGGCUCAACCAUGGAAGUGCAUUUGAAACUGUAAGACUUGAGUAUUAGAGGGGGUAGUGGAAUUCCCGGUGUAGAGGUGAAAUUCGUAGAUAUCGGGAGGAAUACCGGUGGCGAAGGCGACUAUCUGGCCAAAUACUGACGCUGAGGUGCGAAAGCGUGGGGAGCAAACAGGAUUAGAUACCCUCGUAGUC
RNAcentral lists this ribosomal RNA (467 nucleotides) under uncultured bacterium. RNAcentral's name for it is "partial 16S ribosomal RNA". It matches the Rfam family "Bacterial small subunit ribosomal RNA", at positions 339 to 795 of the family's 1533-position model. The record is from RNAcentral.